ACUCCUACGGGAGGCAGCAGUGGGGAAUAUUGCACAAUGGGCGCAAGCCUGAUGCAGCCAUGCCGCGUGUAUGAAGAAGGCCUUCGGGUUGUAAAGUACUUUCAGCAGUGAGGAAGGUGGGUAUGUUAAUAGCAUAUUCAUUUGACGUUAGCUGCAGAAGAAGCACCGGCUAACUCCGUGCCAGCAGCCGCGGUAAUACGGAGGGUGCGAGCGUUAAUCGGAAUUACUGGGCGUAAAGCGCAUGCAGGUGGUUUGUUAAGUCAGAUGUGAAAGCCCGGGGCUCAACCUCGGAAUUGCAUUUGAAACUGGCAAACUAGAGUACUGUAGAGGGGGGUAGAAUUUCAGGUGUAGCGGUGAAAUGCGUAGAGAUCUGAAGGAAUACCGGUGGCGAAGGCGGCCCCCUGGACAGAUACUGACACUCAGAUGCGAAAGCGUGGGGAGCAAACAGGAUUAGAUACCCUGGUCGGCUCUGC
Molecule: ribosomal RNA, 473 nt
Filed under: uncultured bacterium
Lineage: Bacteria
Description: bacterial SSU rRNA
Rfam family: Bacterial small subunit ribosomal RNA
Source: RNAcentral